This is a non-coding RNA of Cordylochernes scorpioides, 73 nucleotides long. NCBI's taxonomy places the organism in Eukaryota, Metazoa, Arthropoda, Arachnida, Pseudoscorpiones, Chernetidae. The record is from the annotation of a GenBank genome assembly.
UCCAGGGUAGCCUAGUGGACAUGGCAUCUGCCCGGUAAGCGGAACACUGUGGGUUCGAUUCCCAUCCCUGGAC